CGAUAAUAUUUAAUGUGAAAAGAACCACGAGAGAGAAAAAGGAGAGGAGAAAGUGAAAUAAGCCGCACGGCUCGCUUAGACGCUAUUUUAGAUUUUCUUGUUCUCAUCAUCUAAACGCGUAAUUAAAGAGGCUGGAUUACAUGUAUAUAUUUUCUGAUGCCAUAAGUGACCAUUAAGACAGUUUGUUACAUUUUUCCUUUGACUGUAUGUUUAUCUACAUCGAUAAGAAGAAUUAUAUUAACUGUAUCUUUUCAAUCUAAUAACAGUCUUGUAUAUUUACAGCGACACGUUAAAUAUACAGAAUGUUUAUAUUUUAUAAACGUUUAAACUAAAGUAGUGUAGGCUAACGGUUAAAAUGUGUGAAAGAGUCAGUGUAUACAAAAAUCCUACAAAUGCAGAUUUCUCUCAGUGAAACGUCGAUUUUUAUGAGCACCGAUAACAGUCUAUAAGACACUUUUGGAUUAGGCUUUAAGGGUGUCAUCGGGAAUGGCCUGAAAUCCCUUUUCAUUCUCCGCGAAGUCAGAUGAGUACAUAGGCUAUGCACGCUAAAUUAAUUUUAUACUAUAUCAGGCUACUUAAUCCAGAAGACCCCUCAAUGACAAAAACAAAAUAAUGCUUAGAAUUCAAUGCAAAAUAACAUGAAAAUAAAUUAAGAUUUGAAGAUAACUAACAAAAUUUAUUCUCCAUAGUCUACAUAAAUAGUUGUAUAUUAUACAGGGUUUAUAUUUUAAUUCAGGACUUUGUGGUGAGUCAUUGGCUCCCAUUAUAUUUAUAGGAGCUGUGGGAAAGUUUGAAAUCCUUUUCUCUAUAGGUUUUAAAUAUGCAUAAGUAUGGUAAUCGCGGUCCUGCUGUGUUGCAAAUAGGCGCAGCAGAUCAUACAUGUGCUACACAACUUCGGACCGUACGAAGUCGCCAAGAUGAGGACAUGCAGAGUCCAAGUAAGUCCUGUUUCUCUCAUUGACGUCUGUUCGUAUAAAGAGAUAAAGCAGGGCUGUCUGAAGUUUGUUUAAGGCGGAAAGCAUGCGAGCACAGGACAGCACGUGUGUUGACCCAUUGGGAGUAAAUCUUUACGUGUGCCCGUCUGACCACUUCUAUUGGGUGCCAGAUCAGUUGAGCAAAGGUUCACAAGAUGAAGAUCAGACGCUUUACGAUUAGGAACUAUGAAGAAGACAUGCCUAAGAUUCCGCAAAAAGUUCUGGAAAAGAGUCUUGACUCGAAAGUGAACGCAAUUAUAUUAAUAGGAAGUGGAUAUUAGGCCUAAUGAUGACUUUAGCGGGCUGAAGGAAAAUGUGACCAUCACUUACCCACUGGAAUUGAGCAGGAGGAAACUGGCAUCAAUUUUAUCAAAUGAUUAACCAACAUGAAUGAUGCUUCUGAGGAACUGCGUUGCUCUUUGAAGUGAGGAAGGAAGGACAGCAGUGGGGUUGAAUCAAGCAGGAGUGGUUGGCAUAGACUGUAUUGAGUCGCAGGGUCCAGUUCUGGAAAGAGUGGCUCAAGCACCUCUUUUAUUGCUCAGAGAAAUAAUGUGCGGUCGGUGAAGAAUCUGACACAGAUAGGCUGAUGAAUUCUGCAGAGUCAGUACAAGCAAAGUGAUGCUGAAAAACACAUCUGUGCCGAUCUUGGACCACACAUCAAAGGCAUAUGCUUCUCCUGAGGCAGCGUGCUGUAUGUAGCACUUUUAAUUUAUUCCUCUGGGUUGAAGUACUUUUUGUUGUUGUCUUGCUUUUUAUAUUUAAUUAUUUACUUUCUGGGACAAGAGAUUUAGAAUGGAGAUGGCUAGAUGAGACAAAUAUAACAAGCAACAUGACCGUAAGCAACAUCCACAAUAUACAGCUAACAGUAUAUGUACUGGCAUAAAGGUCCUCUCCUCUCAUGCUUGUUAUCGCCUUCUAAGGUUUUAAGAAAUAUAAUACUAUAAUAACCAAAGAGAGUGAAAGCUAUAGGGGAUAAGUGGAAUAGGAUAAGUUAUUCUCUUGCCCAACAGCAAACAAGAAAUAAUGAGGGGAGGCAGAAACACAGACCCUCCCAGACCUGUGUUCUUCACAACAAGAAAAAAAAAAACACACUCUUUUCAGGUUAUAAGGAGAUGUGUAAGCAAAAACCAUGUGAGAGGACGGGGAGGAACAAAGCUGAAGACAAGAAAGUGUCGGACACUCCAUUAUUGUUCUCCUCUUUGUUAGCGAACAGUACAUGCAGAUUUUUGAGAACUUGGUGAUAUUUUUUGUCAGUCAUGUACUGUACCUUAAUAAUGGCUUAGACUGGAAGUGAUUCACCUGAUUCAUGUUUCAUAAUGAGGCACGGUUUAGUUUCCUUUUGUUGAAGAAUCGAAGGCCUGUUGAGAUGUCGAACUCCUGGUCGGUGGAAGGAGUUGUGGAAAGUGAGAAGUGUCCAUUUCAUCUAAGAUGAUGUUUCAGGAUGUGAGUCAGAUCUCAAAGGCAAUGAAAUUUAAAGCAUCAUUUCAUCUUUGUGCGUGCAUUGUGCUGGUUUGUUUUUAUUGCAAAAUUUAAAACACAGAAGCGAGGAAAACAAUGGCUCCACAAUGGCGCCUGAGUGAAGAAAGUGCCUACGAUGAGGUUUCAUUUGAGAAGAAAGAUCUUGAGAGCAGCUGUCAGAGGGCCAUCCUGGGUCUAUUAGCGCCAAACCAUUUCAGAAUUCAACUUAUGAAUGUGCACUUAAAGUCUGACAGGGCAAUGGAGACAGUUCAUUUUGCUACAAUCCUCCAUUUUUUAUUUCUCAUUGAUCUGUUCUCCUCAAACUGUACAGUUGGAUUAAGUGUGUAUCUAUAUUAAAGAGGUAUAAUAAUACAUUGUAAGCCUGCCGACAGACAGCCUGGAAUAUUGGGAAUGUCAGAAUCCUUCCUAGUGCUAGACAACUUUUAAUAAAACUGGCAAGCUGUGUGGAAAACUUUGUGAUGCUUAUGAGGACUCUUCCCUUGUGCCUUAGAGAGAGAGCGAGGUUCUUGAUAAAUGGAAUGAUCAUGGUAGCUUGAGCUGGACUAAAUGAGCAGCAAGGGAUUUGUAAGGGCUUAAUGUCAGAAUUAGUGCUUUGUGUCAAAUCACUUAUAGACCAGAGUGAGGAAUAACAAAGCUUUUAUUUAAGAAAUACUUUUUUGAGAAUCACUCUUUGCUCUUUACUCAAAAAGAGCUUGUAUUUGCUGGCUAAUAAUUCUGACUCGAAAUUGUGAUGAAAUGAGCCAUAACAAAGUUUGUUUCAAACGCAGCAUCAGAAAGCGACAUUAACUUAAUCUUGGAAACCAAAAAAUAAAAAAUAAAUAAAUAAUAUGUUUAUUAAAAAAAAUAAUUUAUUAAAACAUUUUCUACAUUUACUGUUGUGGCAAAACUAAUUGUAUAUAUUGUAAAGUUGAGAAUAAUUAUUAAAGUAAUUUUAUCAUCUGAAAUAAUCAUGUUUAUUUUUUUUAUUCUGAAAAUUAAUAAUAAAUUUAACUGGCCUGGCCUUUCGUGGUGUCAAUGAAAUAGCAUUGAACAAACAUAAGAAAGUAUAAAAGUACAAGAUAACAAGUGCAAAAGUAAAAUUUGUUCUGAUGACACGACUGCAGAGCAAGACUCCACAUAUUUUUUUGUAAAGGCGUUAAAACAACUGUGAUCCAGAGUGUCGUUUUUACGGAUUUGAAUGUUUUAAACUCCUCAUGUUUAAUAAUUUUUAAUGUAACAUUUCUGUGUGUAAUGUAGGUCUAAAUGACUAUCUGUUCUAAAGUGUUCUUCUCUCUGCUGCAGGUUGAGAGAGCUCUCUCUCCAGCACAUGCCUCCCUCAUUAGUGUCCAGCAGAUGAAGACGCAAGGUCACAAACCCAAUGAGCUGCCCAUUUCAUUCAGUUUUCCCGAAAUGGAAAGAUGACCACUGUGACCUAAUGUUGCAGUACGGUCUGACAGCACAUUGUACACAACAUAUAAAGUAGCUUGAAUAACCCUUGAACCUUGUGUGGAGUGCAUUAUUUUUUAUGAAAUUGCUAUAGUGUCCAACUUUUCAACAUGCUUGUAGAUUUUAUUCAUUCAAUAAAUUGUGAAUUUUCCUAAAAAGGGAACAGGUCUUGUGAUUUAUUUGCUGAACUGUGGGUGAUGAAAUAUUUAAUAUCCUGGGUAUUAAAAUGAUCAGUCUCGGAUCCAUUGAGAGGGUUGACAUGGUUGAAUCAGUACCACACUAAGGAACUGCUGCACAGGGAAUUAUUGCUUCUGUCUGAACAUGUCACCUCUACAAUAUUUCUAUGAUUAUAAUGUACAAUUAUCCUUUCUUUUCGUUUUCUCUGGCUUGUCAUUGUUGAAACAUUUCACACACACAAUAUGAAAGAACAAUAAAGUCUAGACUCAAUGUCAUUGCUUGGAUUUGAUUUAUACACUUAAGUAUUUCACAUGCAUAAUGCAAAGUAGCUCUCACACUUCACGUUUUGUUCUUCAAACAGUUUAGCCCACAUAAUGUGACUAAGGUAAAAUGAGCAAGACAAAUUUCAUGUUUUAAUGUCCCAGAAAAGCUGGUUGUCUGUUUUCUCUGAAUUGCAUCAGGAAGUGGUCAAGAUGCACGAAUAAAGCUACUUUGGUCUGGAAAUGAGAGUUCAUAUAUUCUGCUCUUUCUGCAUGUGUCACAAAGAGUUGAUCACAUGGGAGUCUAAAAGAACACCUGAACACAAAGCCAGGCAUUGUGUGUCGUUCUGACCUCAGUGUCAUGUGACUGUGUCAUGGCCAGGUGUUGCAUGUAUCUGGAGCAGAAAAGAUGUUUUGCUCUUAAGACCAAACCAAACAAACUAAAGGAACAGAGAGGAAAGGAA
Cyprinus carpio carpio is the source of this 4779-nucleotide long non-coding RNA. The record is from Ensembl. Lineage: Eukaryota; Metazoa; Chordata; Actinopteri; Cypriniformes; Cyprinidae.